AGCUUUGCGAGGUGGCAGUAUCGUAGCCUAUGAGGUUUAUCCGAGGUGCGAUUAUUGCUAAUUGAAAAAUUUUGGGUGCAACUUUAAAAAUACAUGCCUGACAGAAAUCCUCCAGGAUUUCUGACUUCUAAAAAUUAG
Fukomys damarensis (Damara mole-rat) is the source of this 138-nucleotide small nuclear RNA. Its record names the gene U4. It matches the Rfam family "U4 spliceosomal RNA". Rfam says of the family: U4 small nuclear RNA (U4 snRNA) is a component of the major U2-dependent spliceosome. The structure of U4 snRNA from yeast and human has been reported. Lineage: Eukaryota; Metazoa; Chordata; Mammalia; Rodentia; Bathyergidae. The record is from Ensembl.